CGAAGGGGCGUAGCGUUACUCGGAAUUACUGGGCGUAAAGGGACGCGUAGGCGGCUUGGUAAGUCAGGCGUGAAAUUCCCGGGCUCAACCUGGGGACUGCGCUUGAGACUGCUGGGCUAGAGGAUGGAAGAGGGUCGUGGAAUUCCCAGUGUAGAGGUGAAAUUCGUAGAUAUUGGGAAGAACACCGGUGGCGAAGGCGGCGACCUGGUCCAUUACUGACGCUGAGGCGUGACAGCGUGGGGAGCAAACAGGAUU
Molecule: ribosomal RNA, 255 nt
Filed under: uncultured bacterium
Lineage: Bacteria
Description: partial 16S ribosomal RNA
Rfam family: Bacterial small subunit ribosomal RNA
Source: RNAcentral